This 253-nucleotide ribosomal RNA is filed under the name uncultured bacterium. RNAcentral describes it as "partial 16S ribosomal RNA". It matches the Rfam family "Bacterial small subunit ribosomal RNA", at positions 524 to 776 of the family's 1533-position model. The record is from RNAcentral.
UACAGGGGGGGCAAGCGUUGUUCGGAAUUACUGGGCGUAAAGGGUUCGUAGGUGGCCACUUAAGUCAGACGUGAAAUCCCUCAGCUUAACUGGGGAACUGCGUCUGAUACUGGAUGGCUUGAAUUCGGGAGAGGGAUGCAGAAUUCCAGGUGUAGCGGUGAAAUGCGUAGAUAUCUGGAGGAAUACCGGUGGCGAAGGCGGCAUCCUGGACCGAGAUUGACACUGAUGAGCGAAAGCCAGGGGAGCAAACGGG